GUCCGGUGCGAUGCUCCUGCAGGAUCUCGAAGAACACCACGUAGAGCAGAGUACCCGAUGCCAGUCCCUACGAUGAGAAAAAAAAUUCUCACGGUGCGACAGUGGAGGAGGACUACGCUGGGCGUAGUCGUAGACCACGCGGAUGGACCACCACCGGUUGAUCUGGCCUGCAACGCCGAACGAUGCCGGACGCGGAGUAACGACGCCGAAGACGCGCCGGUGACUUUAAAGAGGUACCAGCAGAAGGGAUCACUGUGUGAGGCACCGUGCCGGGUGGAAUGCACGAGCGUGGAAUGAAGCAUCAAGAGGAUUCCUGAAACGUCGGACGCGACGACGUUCAGGAUUAUCUCGUGGUGGGGAAAAGCGGCGGAGGAGAUGUUUCGAUCAGGUUCGAUCAAUUUUAAUCGAUGAUCAAUACAAUCAUGUCGUUAGCAAUUCCACGAAUUCUGAGUUAACAUCGUUGGAUAUUAACCGGAAUUGAUCAAAGUGACCCUUUUGCAAAUCUACAUUUUCACCCCAAUUACGUACGUGACUCACGCGACGCGGCAUCAGAGGGAAGAGAGGGAAAGAGAGAAGGAGAGAGAGAGAGAAAGGGAGAGAGAGAGAGAGACAGAGAGAGAGAGAGAGAGAGAGAGUGAGCGAAAACUCGUAAGGAAGUAUUCGAACCUGGAAUGCAGUUAACGACGAUCGAAUAAUCGACCGGAAUGUCGGAUGAUGCUGUCGUAUCUCUUGCAUGCAAUUAUCUUCCCACGCGCGUUUUCCACGUUAUCGUCUAUUCCUCCGCGAGAAUCCCCCAGUGAGGGGAUCUCCCUGACGCGCUUUCACAAAUUGUCGCGCGUGUGCGAAAAGGGAGCUUAUUGCAGGCUCCGUAGAUUAGAGAUGACACUUCUGUUUAACAAGAGGCGUGUGUUUAAUUAAGAUACAUACCCGCGCUUAUCAAUGCGUUAUAUACCACGCAAUAUAUAGUUGAUAACUGAAUAAAAACUAUUUUUAUUUCAUCGUAUCUUUAAACAAGAUAAAACUCUGUAAAAAAACUACAACACAAAAAAUUACGAAGUAAAAAUUUUAUAUACUCAUAUUGCUAAUUAAAAAUAAAUUUUCACUGAUAUUAUUAAUAUCAUGUGCAAUUAAUAUACAUUCAGUUAUCAUAUAAAUUCAGUUUAAUAUGAAUUCAUUUAAGUGAUACGUAAUACAAAAUAGUUUAUUUGUAUUUUUCUUCUAUUUUAUCACUACUUUCUUCUAUUCUUAGAAGCAUUGGGAAGUACUAAAAGAUAUCGAAACGACGAAAAAUAUAAAUAGUAUAUUCGCGCGUUAUCGUAAUCGUAAAUCGUACUUUUCAGAAUCGCAAGUGUUGUUGGUUUAAGCGGUACAAAUAUUUCAUGCUUACUUUUAUUGCUUGCCUCAUUGCUCUUCUGUUUUAAAUCACUUAUCGUUUAAUAUUUUUCUGCGCCGUGGCCUUGCAAAAUUCCGUAACGUCACUUUUUUUUCGCUGAGACCAAAUAUGUAUUUCUGCGAAGAAUACUUAAAUGUGAAAUGUGCUGAGAAGGCAUUUAUCUCUACGAAAUCAAAUAUUCACGUUUGCGAAUUUUCGAUUUCAAAGAUAAGGAAUUUCUAACUUCGUAAAACGGCUUUUCCGUCGCGUCUCUUCUUUCAAUUCACUCAUUUCGCGCACAGAUUCAUCGGAACUGUCGGAACCUUUGUCGGCUCCUGCGAUACUCCCACACGCUUAUUUCACGCAGUUUCUUUCCAUUCUUUAAACAACCGUAAUUGCGUCGAAUUUGAAUAUCUGACGUAAUCGCAUCAGGAAAGCAGCAUCUGUCGAUGAUAUUCCGUGCAUCGUAAAACAUAACGCAUUAUCAUUCCGUUGUAUUUGAUAAAGUGCACACGUUUUAUUGUGUGCAAAUAAAUUGAGCAUUAAGAUGCAAUUAAUUUACAUAUUUUUCACAAGCCAUUUACAAAGGAUCUCGAUCGUGGGCGACCGAACGACGCGAUUCAUCAUCGCCGCCGUUAUUUUCGCUGUCCAACGUUCGUGACGAAAAUGAAGGAUACCGUAAAAUCGUCGCCGCAUAUAUUUCGUUUGUUACGCGAGUAUUUACAUUCCCAAUAUAACUUGAACUACUAACGGUGACUAAGGAGAUGUCAUGGACCACGUUUAGAAUUCAUAAAGAAUCCGUUUUUACGCGCCUCCGCGCGUUUUGUUACAUUUUUUGUUCACAAAAUCACGAAGAGUAUGAGUCACUUCUGUUAUUUUUUCUUUUAUUUUAGUCAAGUAAAUUUGUUUAUUUUAAAGUGAAGAGGUAUUUAAUGUAAACCGUGCGUCUUAUUACAAUUCCUUAUAGUUUUAUUGGAAAAGGAGAAAUGCAUUUUAUCUGAAAUCUAAAUAUCUAAAACAAAAAUAUAAAUUUCUUUGAAAAAACAUACAUUGAAAUUAUGUUAGUUUUGUUUUACACUGCGCUUGAAACAUCUCUUCCUCCAAAAGUGGGCGUCAAUUAUUGAAAAUUUUUGCAUUAUCUUUGUAUUAUUUCGAGUUCAUUUAUAGUCUUAUCAGGAGUGUCUUUGUGUGAAUGUAUGGGCGACAAUAAAUAUAUUUCUAUCAAAAGCAUCGUUAAACGAUAAAAGAAACAGCAUUGUUAGACGAUAAAAGGAAACGUCGUUAGACGUCUGAAAUUAGAUAAAACGUUAUGUGAGAAGUGUGUGUCGACAAAACAGUUUCUUCGUGUGUAAUUGUUUUCUCCGUUCCUUUUAUAAGAAUUUCCACUACGCUACGUUGUGACGGAAACGAAAUUCAGGUGUACUUAGCUUUCACCGGGACGUCGAGAAAACGGAGUUGCGGCGAGAUCUCGAACGCCGUUGCCCGUUCGACGGGACAUGCGAAAAGAGUUCUCGCGCGAAAUUGCGAAGAGUUCAAUGCCAAUGAACUAUUCGUUUGUUUUUUUAUCGCGCCACUUCGAUCACACGUAUAUUAUCACGCGGAGCCGACGAUUACGAUCGCUUGCCAAACAAUAUGCUUGUUUGUCCAUUUGUACAUGAUUGAUACUGCAGUGCGCUCUUUCUGUGCCAUCUGCGGCCAUGGUGGCCAGAUAGCCAGAGAUAAAGUGACGUUAAAUAUUAAUCACUCGUCAAUACGAGCAAAAAACAAAGAUUGCGUUCCACCAGACCUAUUUUUCUUAUUCAUCGAUAUCAGAUAUUAUCUCGACGAAAAUCGUAUUUAUACCGUUCUCGUCUUGGUUUAGGAAUGCAUAAUUAGGUUUGUAAUCGCGGCGGUUAGAUCUUCCUUGUUGCUAACCGGAGCUAUUCGAUGCUCGACUAACUUGAAAUCUAAUUGUAUAAUACCGCAAUGAUCUUCCUUUUUAAGAUGAAAAUUUUUUCACUAUUGGUACAUAUAAGAGCUUUCGAAAGAAUUUGUGGAAUCCGUUUAAUUAUUAUUCAUUCAAAUUAAAAAGAAAGCUUAAAUGAAGAAACGCGAAAAAAAUAGUUCUGUUUGAUAAAAACAAAUUGUCAGCGGGAUUACCGCUGGAAAGUACAUCAUCAUAAGCGUACUCGUGGUAUGUACCAGAUCGUACACAGUAUGACACAUUUGCAGAAAUUAUGAUAAACAGAGAUAAUGAUAAAGCGCUGGUUUUUUCCAGCGAAUAUGCCUUUUGAAUUAAAUAAAAUAAGUAAUUUUAUAUUUCAAGACGAAGAACUUUGAUAAAUUGUAUACAGAAAAUCCAUUAAAGGGAUUAAUGCUAUGAUAAUUGCACUGGGAAAUAAAAAAGAUAAAGUAUCAACUA
This is a long non-coding RNA of Wasmannia auropunctata (little fire ant), 3773 nucleotides long. RefSeq lists it as uncharacterized. The record is from RefSeq and is a predicted model, not a curated record. The transcript has 2 exons. Lineage: Eukaryota; Metazoa; Arthropoda; Insecta; Hymenoptera; Formicidae.